This 441-nucleotide ribosomal RNA is filed under the name uncultured bacterium. Its description in RNAcentral is "bacterial SSU rRNA". It matches the Rfam family "Bacterial small subunit ribosomal RNA", at positions 958 to 1398 of the family's 1533-position model. The record is from RNAcentral.
AACGCGAAGAACCUUACCUACCCUUGACAUCCAGAGAAUCCUGCAGAGAUGCGGGAGUGCCGAAAGGAAUUCUGAGACAGGUGCUGCAUGGCUGUCGUCAGCUCGUGUUGUGAGAUGUUGGGUUAAGUCCCGUAACGAGCGCAACCCUUAUCCUUAGUUGCCAACAUGUAAUGGUGGGGACUCUAAGGAGACUGCCGGUGAUGAACCGGAGGAAGGCGGGGACGACGUCAAGUCAUCAUGGCCUUUAUGGGUAGGGCUACACACGUGCUACAAUGGUCAGUACAGAGGGCGGCCAACCCGCGAGGGGGAGCCAAUCCCGAAAAGCUGAUCGUAGUCCGGAUCGGAGUCUGCAACUCGACUCCGUGAAGUCGGAAUCGCUAGUAAUCGCGAAUCAGAAUGUCGCGGUGAAUACGUUCCCGGGCCUUGUACACACCGCUCGUC